CUACGGGUCGCUGCAGUCGAGAAUCUUUCGCAAUGGGGGAAACCCUGACGACGCGACGCCGUGUGAGUGAUGAAGGCCCUCGGGUUGUAAAACUCUGUCACUAGGGAGGAACAUAUUGAUAUUAAUACCAUCAAUAUUUGACAUUACCUGGAGAGGAAGCACCGGCUAACUCCGUGCCAGCAGCCGCGGUAAUACGGAGGGUGCAAGCGUUAUUCGGAUUUACUGGGCGUAAAGCGCGCGCAGGCGGUUUUGUAAGUCGGAUGUGAAAGCCCUGGGCUUAACCCAGGAAGUGCAUUCGAUACUGCAUUACUUGAGUAUGGGAGAGGGAAGCGGAAUUCCUGGUGUAGAGGUGAAAUUCGUAGAUAUCAGGAGGAACAUCGGUGGCGAAGGCGGCUUCCUGGACCAAUACUGACGCUGAGGCGCGAAGGCGUGGGGAGCAAACAGGAUUAGAUACCCGUGUAGUC
RNAcentral lists this ribosomal RNA (464 nucleotides) under uncultured bacterium. Its description in RNAcentral is "partial 16S ribosomal RNA". It matches the Rfam family "Bacterial small subunit ribosomal RNA", at positions 339 to 795 of the family's 1533-position model. The record is from RNAcentral.